CGCUCGUAGUCGGAUUUCGGGGCGGGCCGACCGGUCUGCCGAUGGGUAUGCACUGGCCGGCGCGUCCUUCCACCCGGAGACCGCGCCUACUCUUAACUGAGCGGGCGCGGGAGACGGGUCUUUUACUUUGAAAAAAUCAGAGUGUUUCAAGCAGGCAGUCGCUCUUGCAUGGAUUAGCAUGGGAUAAUGAAAUAGGACUCUGGUGCUAUUUUGUUGGUUUCGAACACCGGAGUAAUGAUUAACAGGGACAGUCAGGGGCACUCGUAUUCCGCCGAGAGAGGUGAAAUUCUCAGACCAGCGGAAGACGAACCACUGCGAAAGCAUUUGCCAGGGAUGUUUUCACUGAUCAAGAACGAAAGUUAGGGGAUCGAAGACGAUCAGAUACCGUCGUAGUCUUAACCAUAAACCAUGCCGACUAGGGAUUGGAGGAUGUUCCAUUUGUGACUCCUUCAGCACCUUUCGGGAAACUAAAGUCUUUGGGUUCCGGGGGGAGUAUGGUCGCAAGGCUGAAACUUAAAGGAAUUGACGGAAGGGCACCACCAGGAGUGGAGCCUGCGGC
Molecule: ribosomal RNA, 559 nt
Filed under: Emiliania huxleyi
Lineage: Eukaryota; Haptophyta; Isochrysidales; Noelaerhabdaceae
Description: SSU rRNA
Rfam family: Eukaryotic small subunit ribosomal RNA
Source: RNAcentral